Non-coding RNA from Podarcis lilfordi (Lilford's wall lizard), 69 nucleotides. The record is from the annotation of a GenBank genome assembly. Lineage: Eukaryota; Metazoa; Chordata; Lepidosauria; Squamata; Lacertidae.
GCCAUAGUUCAGUGGUAGACUAUGUGUUUUGCAUGCAGAAGAUCCCAGGUUCAGUCCCUGGUAUCUCCA